GACCUCAAAUCAGGUAGGAACACCCGCUGAACUUAAGCAUAUCAAUAAGCGGAGGAAAAGAAAAUAACAAUGAUUCCCCUAGUAACUGCGAGUGAAGAGGGACAAGCUCAAAUUUUAAAUCUAUCGGGUUUUACCCGAUCGAGUUGUAAUUUGAAGAAGCGUUUUCUGCGUUUUUGAUCAGCCCAAGUCCUAUUGAAUGAGGCAUCAUGGAGGGUGAUAAUCCCGUCCGGUUGAUCAUUUGCGUUUUACGAUACGCUCUCUAAGAGUCAAGUUGUUUGGGAUUGCAGCUUAAAAUGGGAGGUAAAUUUCUCCUAAGGCUAAAUAACGGCGAGAGACCGAUAGCGAACAAGUACCGUGAGGGAAAGAUGAAAAGAACUUUGAAAAGAGAGUUAAACAGUACGUGAAAUUGUUGAAAGGGAAACGAUUGAAGCCAGUCGUACCUUCGGGUAAUCAGCCUUUCGGGUGCGAUUCUGUGGAGUGUGAGGAGCUUAACACCUUCAUGCUUUGCAUAUUUGUGCUCUUGGGUGUACUUGCCCGUGUGGUUGGUUAACAUCAAUUUUGAUUAUCAUAAAAUGACUGGAGGAAUGUAGCUUCGAUCUCGUAUUGAAGUGUUAUAGCCUUCGGUAGAUGUGAUGAUCGAGAUUGAGGAUUGCAACGGAUACCCUUCGGGGCUACCUGUCUGGUCUCUGAUCGUUGCUCUGGUGCCGAAAGCGUGCUUACGGUUAUCAAAGUCGAUGGUCAAUAGGUUAGAACGGGUUAAAUUCGUUAAGGAUGUUGACGUAAUGGCUUUAAACGACCCGUCUUGAAACACGGACCAAGGAGUCUAACAUAUAUGCGAGUGUUA
Molecule: ribosomal RNA, 844 nt
Filed under: Rhizophagus irregularis
Lineage: Eukaryota; Fungi; Glomeromycota; Glomeromycetes; Glomerales; Glomeraceae
Description: eukaryotic LSU rRNA
Rfam family: Eukaryotic large subunit ribosomal RNA
Source: RNAcentral